This 292-nucleotide ribosomal RNA is filed under the name uncultured bacterium. RNAcentral's name for it is "partial 16S ribosomal RNA". It matches the Rfam family "Bacterial small subunit ribosomal RNA", at positions 505 to 796 of the family's 1533-position model. The record is from RNAcentral.
GUGCCAGCCGCCGCGGUAAGACAGAGGGUGCGAACGUUGUUCGGAAUUACUGGGCGUAAAGCGCGUGUAGGCGGCCACGCAAGUCGGGUGUGAAAUCCCGGGGCUCAACCCCGGAAGUGCACUCGAAACUGCAUGGCUGGAGUCUCGGAGAGGAAGGCGGAAUUCUAGGUGUAGAGGUGAAAUUCGUAGAUAUCUAGAGGAACACCGGUGGCGAAGGCGGCCUUCUGGACGAGCACUGACGCUGAGACGCGAAAGCGUGGGGAGCAAACAGGAUUAGAAACCCUUGUAGUCC